CCUACGGGAGGCAGCAGUGGGGAAUUUUCCGCAAUGGGCGAAAGCCUGACGGAGCAACGCCGCGUGAGGGAUGAAGGCCUCUGGGCUGUAAACCUCUUUUAUCAAGGAAGAAGAUCUGACGGUACUUGAUGAAUAAGCCACGGCUAAUUCCGUGCCAGCAGCCGCGGUAAUACGGGAGUGGCAAGCGUUAUCCGGAAUUAUUGGGCGUAAAGCGUCCGCAGGCGGUCUUGUAAGUCUGUCGUUAAAGCGUGGAGCUCAACUCCAUUUCGGCGGUGGAAACUACAAGACUAGAGUGUGGUAGGGGCAGAGGGAAUUCCCGGUGUAGCGGUGAAAUGCGUAGAUAUCGGGAAGAACACCAGUGGCGAAGGCGCUCUGCUGGGCCAUAACUGACGCUCAUGGACGAAAGCUAGGGGAGCGAAAGGGAUUAGAUACCCCUGUAGUCCUAGCCGUAAACGAUGAACACUAGGUGUCGGGGAAUCGACCCCCGUCGGUGUCGUAGCUAACGCGUUAAGUGUUCCGCCUGGGGAGUACGGCACGCAAGUGUGAAACUCAAAUGAAUUGACGGCUGNGAGNGCGACGCGACGACGAGGGAGUAG
RNAcentral lists this ribosomal RNA (596 nucleotides) under uncultured bacterium. RNAcentral describes it as "bacterial SSU rRNA". It matches the Rfam family "Bacterial small subunit ribosomal RNA", at positions 338 to 947 of the family's 1533-position model. The record is from RNAcentral.